This is a long non-coding RNA of Eriocheir sinensis (Chinese mitten crab), 1145 nucleotides long. RefSeq lists it as uncharacterized. Lineage: Eukaryota; Metazoa; Arthropoda; Malacostraca; Decapoda; Varunidae. The transcript has 4 exons. The record is from RefSeq and is a predicted model, not a curated record.
CACACACUCACAUAGUACAUAUAUAUAGGUUUUUUAAAUAUAAACACACAUAGUACAGAUAUUCAUAGGGUGUUGAAAUAUAUAUACACACAUUCACAUAGUACAUAUAUAUAUAGGUUUUUUUAAAUAUAAACACACAUAGUACAGAUAUUCAUAGGUUGUUGAAAUAUAUAUAAACACACAGAGUACAGAUAUAUAUAGGUUUUUGAAAUAUAAACACACAUAGUACAUAUAUUCAUAGGUUUUUUAAAUAUAUAUACACACAUUCACAUAGUACAGAUAUAUAUAGGUUGUUGAAAUAUAUAAACACACAUAGUACAUAUAUUCAUAGGUUUUUGAAAUAUAUAUACACACAUUCACAUAGUACAUAUAUAUAUAGGUUUUUGAAAUAUAAACACACAUAGUACAUAUAUUCAUAGGUUUUUGAAAUAUAUAUACACACAUUCACAUAGUACAGAUAUAUAUAGGUUGUUGAAAUAUAUAAACACACAUAGUACAUAUAUUCAUAGGUUUUUGAAAUAUAUAUACACACAUUCACAUAGUACAGAUAUAUAUAGGUUUUUGAAAUAUAAACACACAUAGUACAUAUAUUCAUAGGUUUUUGAAAUAUAUAUAAACACACAGAGUACAGAUAUAUAUAGGUUGUUGAAAUAUAUAAACACACAUAGUACAUAUAUUCAUAGGUUGUUGAAAUAUAUAUACACACACUCACAUAGUACAUAUAUAUAGGUUUUUUAAAUAUAAACACACAUAGUACAUAUAUUCAUAGGUUGUUGAAAUAUAUAUAAACACACAGAGUACAGAUAUAUAUAGGUUGUUGAAAUAUAUAAACACACAUAGUACAUAUAUUCAUAGGUUGUUGAAAUAUAUAUACACACAUUCACAUAGUACAUAUAUAUAGGUUUUUUAAAUAUAAACACACAGAGUACAGAUAUUCAUAGGUUGUUGAAAUAUAUAUACACACAUUCACAUAGUACAUAUAUAUAUAUAGGUUUUUGAAAUAUAAACACACAUAGUACAUAUAUUCAUAGGUUUUUGAAAUAUAUAUACACACAUUCACAUAGUACAUAUAUAUAUAGGUUUUUUAAAUAUAAACACACAGAGUACAGAUAUUCAUAGGUUGUUGAAAUAUAUAUACACACAUU